UGUCUUUAUAACUCAUCUAUUUAAACUGCAUUAAGGCUUAAAGUUUACAUCGUUAGGGGUGUGGCCUCUUUGACUGACAGGUUAUUGGAGUCCCUGAACUGGAUCUCUGGACCAUGUUUGUGCUUUUUCAGUGUUUUGGAGCGUUUUUAAUGUAAUUGUGACCAAUAAUGUGGCUGCUGUGACGUUAUUUUACUAACAAACCAUCCAAGAAGUCUGAGCUUCAGUUUUGAAGAACAACACGGUGAUGACCAUAAACUGCUGUUCCAAAAACCGGUGGCGUGCUGUGGUGGUCUGAGGGGUUGCUGUGUCUGCUCCUGCCAACCUCGUUGAUGGCGAUGACCCGGAAUCGGUAGGUGGAG
Long non-coding RNA from Oreochromis aureus, 359 nucleotides. RefSeq lists it as uncharacterized. Lineage: Eukaryota; Metazoa; Chordata; Actinopteri; Cichliformes; Cichlidae. The transcript is spliced from 3 exons. The record is from RefSeq and is a predicted model, not a curated record.